RNAcentral lists this long non-coding RNA (5194 nucleotides) under Homo sapiens (human). RNAcentral describes it as "HSALNT0035580". The record is from RNAcentral. Lineage: Eukaryota; Metazoa; Chordata; Mammalia; Primates; Hominidae.
AUUUUCAUGCCUCAGCCUCCUGAGUGGCUGGGAUUACACGCAUGUACCACCAUGCCCAGCUAAUUUUGUAAUAUUAGUAAAGAUAUGGUUUUGCUAUGUUGGCAAGGAUGAUUUCAAACUCCUGGCCUAAGUGAUCCGCCCAUCUCAGCCUCCCAAAGUGUUGAGAUGAAAACAUCACAGGAGCUGAUGAAAAAGGAAAAGGAGACAGCAAUGAUCCCAGGCCUUUUUAAAGGGAGAACAAGCUGAAAGCAGCAAAACACAACAGUUAAAUCUCUAAGACACUAAUCUCAGAAGUUUUAAAAGAAACUCAUUAUUGUAUCACAGGCAAAAUUUUUUGUUUUACUUGUUUUUUUUUUUUUGAGAUAGAGUCUCGCUUUGUCACCCAGGCUGGAGUGCAAUAGCAUGAUCUUGGCUCACUGCAACCUCCACCUCCUGGGUUUCAGCCAUUCUCCUGCCUCAGCCUCCUGAGUCGCUAGGGUUACAGGUACAUGCCACUGUGCCUGGCUAAUUUUUGUAUUUUUAGUAGAGACGAGGUUUUACUAUGUUUGCCAGACUGGUCUUCAACUCCUGACCUCAAAUGAUCCUCCCACCUUGGCCUCCCAAAGUGCUGGGAUUACAGGCAUGGGCCACCAUGCCCAGCCUUAAAGCUGUAUUUUUAUUAAGUAAAGCGUAGAGGAAAAAGUGUAAAUAAAGUGACAGAAGGAAAACACAAGGCUGUUAUGGAAAAUGAUAACCUUAGGGCAGAAAACAAGAAAAGGCAAACCAAGAUUUCCAUAGGGUGAGGCUCCAAUCCACAAUCCUCGGACGAAUGUCAAUGCUAAAAACCUUGGAGCAUCCAGGGAGUGGCCAACAGUACUAAAUGCUGAAAACCCAGAGUACACGAGUAUCAGCCUAUGAAUGUCCCACACCAAAUGCCAGGAAACCCUGGAGUAUCCAGGGGCUGACCAGUGCAGAAAAUCCUGGAGCCUCAGUGGGGUGGCCAACAAUGAGCCCCAAAGGCCCGGUUGGGGCCAUAGAACAAUGUGACUCUGGCUUCUUAGAGUCAACAGAACAGGAGAAUUCUUACAUCCAAGUGUCCUGCCUUAAACAAUUGCACAAACAUAAUUAGUAGGGACCCAAAGAAAAAACUGCAAAGCAAACACAUAUAUCGGGGCAGAAAAUAAGAUAAAAUGGCUGAUGGAUAAAUAAAAUGUCAUUAGAGGAGAAAUGACUAAGAGAAAGAUCAAUGAGGAUGUAGUCAGGUGUGCUAUGGGGGACUUCAAAUGGACUAUUUAGCCAAAGGCCUUAUUUCCUGGAUCAUCUGAUAUAGGGAAGGUGGGUAGAUGGGACACUUACAGGUGUGCAGGAGCCAAAAUGGUGCCAAGCAGUCUCUAACAUGAGGCCUGCAUGAAGAUCUCUCCAGGCUCCCCAGCUUGGGUGGGUUGAGCUCCCACGGGUGAACUGGUGCAUGGAGCGGCUGGCCUGCAUGAAGCAGUGGCUCUGUGGCCACUUACCUAUCUGCUCAGCUCCACUGCCUGUCAGGAAAGACGAUGGCUCUUCAAACAGCCUUUGGCCAGUCUUAACAGCUCUGCAAUGUUAGCAACUAUGUAGCUUUAAUCGCUGUAGCGCCGAUCUCGCCCUCUCUCACUGAUCGCUGACUUGCCACUUCUCCAAUAGCUGUCUCGCCCAUUGCUGAUCGCUAUGUCCAUCUUCUCACAAAAUGCCAUCUCUUGCUGUCUCUUGCUGUCUUGCUUCUCCACUGUUUCUGCUGUCUCACCACCACAUCAAACACUGCCUCUCACCAUGUCCCAUUUAUCCUCCCUCCUUAUUAAACAUCCAUCUGCAUGUCCAGGCCUGGCAUCCCCAGGCUGAUGUCUCUGUCCUGGGCCAGGUACUGGAGAGUAUUGUUCCUCCAACUUCACCAAUAAGCCAUGGUUCUCUCAAAUCAAACCUUCUUAGUGUGCCAAUUUUGCCAAGAAGGUUUGCUGUGCACUGGUUGCCAACUCACCCAAAUCUAGUGAGACAGAACACCCAUGCACAACCAGUUACAUGAAGUGGAUUACUACUUACAGAGUCAGCAAGAGAGAGCACAAAGCUGCCUGGGCCUGAUUGACUCUAGACCUUGCAUAACACAAAAGGACCGCAGCUGAGGGACCCUGGAAUGCAGCCCACCCUGGGUUUUAUGUCUUAGAAUCACAUGACACACUGGGCUACAGUGUUGAAGGAAUUCCUGUUUCUAGUAGGGACAGAAACAGAACCCAGGCUGUUCUGGCCAAUCAUGCCCUAUCUCAGAAUGUUACAGUUCCAGAACAUUCUACAGUUAUUCCUGAAAACUACAAUCAAGAAAAGGAAGGAGACUGGGUUAAUUCGUGACUAAAUGGAAACUGUUCUGCAAAUACCACAGUGAAAUCAAAACUCAGUAUUUUUGAGACUGGGUUAUUUCACUUAGUGUAAUGUCCUCUAGUUCCAUCCAUGUUGUAGCAUGUGUCAGAAUUUCCCUUUUUAAAACUAAAUAAUAUGGAAUAGUAUGUAUAUUACCACAUUUGGAUUACCAGUUCCCUCCUUUGUGAACAUUUGAGUUGCUUCUACAUUUGGCUACUGUGAAUAAUUUGCUUCUGAAUGUGGAUAUACAAAUAUCUCCUCAAUUUAAUGUCUUCCAUUACUUGGGUAUAUGUCCAAAAGUGGAAUUGCUGAAUUAUAUAGUAUUUCUAUUUUUAAUCCUUCGAGGAAUUGCCAUCUUGUUUCCCACAGCAGGUGGGCCAUUUACAUCACCACGACAGUGUCCACAGGAGUUCCAGUUCCCUAAAUUCUCACCAAGACUGGUCACCCUCUGUUGGAAAAAAACAUUCUAACAGGCAUCAGUUUCUGGCAAUACUUUCUCUAUGGUAGAGUCUGGAAAGGCUACUCCUCAUGUCCUUGGCUUCCUAAGUCCCAGAUGUGGUGAAGAAUGCCCAUCAACUGUGCUACUACAGAGUGCUUUUGGAUUGAGAUGAGGGAGGAGAAAUGGCUGAACUCACUCAAAUGUGAUCAUUUUCUUGGUCUAGGUCACAGCCAGGCAACACAGUCCUCUGGGCACAAUAUCAUCACUUGCCAUGUUUCUAUCAAAAUGAAAGUAUCUUUCUUGACUGUGGAAAACAUAGGGGUGGGGGCGGGGAGGGUCAAGUAAUAGCAAAAGGAGUACUUGGAGUUGCCUGAGCUGCCACUCUGGUUUCCCCAAAUGUUUUCAAUCCAUUUCAUUCAUGAUAAUAAACACCUUUCUGCCUAACCAGUCAUAAUGACUUUUCUCAGAUCCAACUGAUUCAGUGAUAAACCUAUAGAGAAAAAAUAAAUACACUUCUCCAUGUUUGAGCUGACCAGGAUGCUGUCCCUGGUGUUUGCACCUCCAUAUCCCACUAUGCGUUUCAUCUUCUCUUUGCCUCACUGGUGAUCCAAGUACAGGGAAUGCUUCACAUGACUGUGAUCCCUAGAACUUCAUCCUGAUGACGGUUGAAAUCUUCUCUGAGUUUUACCAGUGGAAAUGGCAAUAAAUAGAAACAUUCCAGAAGGUCCCCUAGGUUCCAUAUUUUCUGUACUUCCUCUCUAAAAUAUGUAAAAUCAAUUAUGUUUGCUCUUGCUUUUAUGGACUAUAUCUAUGGCCCCAGCACACAUCCUAAUGUCCUGUCUUGACAAUUUAUCCAGUAUUUUAAUAAAUGUAAAUGGUCACAUGCUUAUCAUAUCAUUUCUUCCAAUUUCAUGGAAUAAUUUCACAUCAACUCUUUGGAUUAAGAGCCGUCAACCAGAAAACCACAGCCCUGAAUAAAUAGAAAUAGAGUAUUUCAAGCUGUUCAUUUGGCAUAACAAUGAUGAGUCUACAGCUCAUUUUCAAGAUAUAAAUAUUCUGUUUAUGGGAGUGACAGCACCAUUCAUACAGUUACUGUUUCAGAGCCUCCACCAUAUCUGACAGGACAGCAAUUCAAUAGCAGAAGGGUUUGUGUGCCAGCUUUGCUUGACUAAUAAUGGGUUUUUCUCUGUCCAUAGGGAAAGCACAUGACAAGAGCAUGAGCUACACUUCACUUCACUUUUUUUGAGGUUAAUAAGUUGCUUGAUCCAAAGCUAUAUUACAGAAGAACUUCCUGACUCUGAUGAAAGCUCUUGGAAAAUCCUCAAAUAAUAUUUUAUGCAGAAAUAUAACCAAAAAGGAAGGCAAAUUCAUAUAUAGGAAAAUAACCAGUGCCCUCCUCACGUUACAUGAGGUCUACUAGUAUCACCCGACACCAGCUGUUAGUCUGGGCCCUGAUGUGUGGCGCAAUGUUAGGGGUUCAAGAGACGUUAUUCUUCUUGACAAAAUAGGUGUUCAGAAGAGCCAGUAGCCCUGUAUGUCUCAGUUAGUUGAAACUCAUAUUAUUGAGUCCCCACAGGGACCUCCAUAACCUUGGUUCAGGAGACACCUUGGAAACCUGGGAAAGGUGAUUGACUGAAGUCCAUCUGUUGAAUCAUCCUCAUUAUUAAAAGCCUCCUACUCAUUAACGGCAUUUCGAUUAAUAUUCACUUGGAAAGCAUGUUUUUAUUUUGGCUCAUUUUUGAAACGUCUAGUCAUAGUUCUUUCUGAAUCACUUUGUCUGAAAUCAUCCUGUUGCAUUUCUUUUAAGGGCUGAUGAUCUGUCAAAAGCAACAGCCAAUAUUAUUACAUUGCUGUUCUCUUUGCAAUGUUAUCAUCAGAUGUAAUCCUUGCAGGUUAACCACUGUUACGAAUUUUACAUUUCCAGGGAUUUCUUGACAAUGGCACUGAUGUGACGCCAUCCAGCAUCUAUUUGUGAGAACUCUAUUUGACAAAUCAUCACUGUGGGUGUGAACAUAAUGGAGACUUUCAUAGGAUGCUAUGGUUAAUAUUCAACUUUAGUCAAAAUUUACUCUAGUCCUACCCUUGGAGCUCUACUGGGUUCGAAAAAUAUUUUAGAUAAGGACAAUCAUUUCAUAGAGUUUUAAAAAUAAAGGCUAAAAGAAAUUUUCUGUAGCAACAGUAUGAACUAUAUGUAGCCAGCAUACCCUUUUUUAAUGGAAUAUAACAAAAAUUAUUUAAAUGUAUUUAAUUUAAAUAAUUGUAUAAAUAUGCAUAUAUAAUAAAUAAACGUACUUAAAUAUAAAUACUAUACAUGUAUAUUUGUAGCCAACAUUUCAUCAGAUAAAUAUAGGUAGCUUUUAUGUAUCUUAUACACAUAUAUGCACAUUUUCCACA